This 253-nucleotide ribosomal RNA is filed under the name uncultured bacterium. Its description in RNAcentral is "partial 16S ribosomal RNA". It matches the Rfam family "Bacterial small subunit ribosomal RNA", at positions 524 to 776 of the family's 1533-position model. The record is from RNAcentral.
UACAGAGGGUGCGAGCGUUGUUCGGAAUUAUUGGGCGUAAAGGGCGCGUAGGCGGUGCGGUAAGUCACCUGUGAAAUCUCCUGGCUCAACUGGGAGCUUGCAGGCGAAACUGCCGUGCUGGAGUGUGGGAGAGGUGCGUGGAAUUCCCGGUGUAGCGGUGAAAUGCGUAGAUAUCGGGAGGAACGCCAGUGGUGAAAACGGGUCGCUGGGGACAUGCUGACGCUGAGACACGAAAGCCAGGGGAGCAAACGGG